Molecule: ribosomal RNA, 437 nt
Filed under: uncultured anaerobic ammonium-oxidizing bacterium
Lineage: Bacteria
Description: bacterial SSU rRNA
Rfam family: Bacterial small subunit ribosomal RNA
Source: RNAcentral
GUGACGAAGCGACGCCGCGUGGGUGAGGAAGGCCUUCGGGUUGUAAAGCCCUGUCAGGGGUUAAGAAAUGUAGGUGUGCUAAUAUCAUGCCUAUUUGACAAAGGCCCCAAAGGAAGCCACGGCUAACUCUGUGCCAGCAGCCGCGGUAAUACAGAGGUGGCGAGCGUUGUUCGGAAUUAUUGGGCGUAAAGAGCACGUAGGUGGGUUUGUAAGUCAGAUGUGAAAGCCUUCUGUUCAACGGAAGAAUUGCAUCUGAAACUGCAGAUCUUGAGUGUAGGAGGGGAGAAUGGAACUUCUGGUGGAGCGGUGAAAUGCGUAGAUAUCAGAAGGAACGCCGGCGGCGAAAGCGAUUCUCUGGCCUAUUACUGACACUGAGUGUGCGAAAGUUAGGGGAGCAAACGGGAUUAGAUACCCCGGUAGUCCUAACUGUAAACGAU